CGGGGUAACGGCCCACCAAGCCUUCGAUGGAUAGGGGUUCUGAGAGGAAGGUCCCCCACAUUGGAACUGAGACACGGUCCAAACUCCUACGGGAGGCAGCAUG
This 103-nucleotide ribosomal RNA is filed under the name uncultured bacterium. Its description in RNAcentral is "partial 16S ribosomal RNA". It matches the Rfam family "Bacterial small subunit ribosomal RNA", at positions 253 to 353 of the family's 1533-position model. The record is from RNAcentral.